AUCCUGGUGGCGAGUGGCGAACGGGUGAGUAAUAUAUCGGAACGUGCCCAGUCGUGGGGGAUAACGUAGCGAAAGCUACGCUAAUACCGCAUACGAUCUACGGAUGAAAGCGGGGGACUCGUAAGAGCCUCGCGCGAUUGGAGCGGCCGAUAUCAGAUUAGGUUGUUGGUGAGGUAAAAGCUCACCAAGCCUGCGAUCUGUAGCUGGUCUGAGAGGACGACCAGCCACACUGGAACUGAGACACGGUCCAGACUCCUACGGGAGGCAGCAGUGGGGAAUUUUGGACAAUGGACGCAAGUCUGAUCCAGCAAUGCCGCGUGCAGGACGAAGGCCUUCGGGUUGUAAACUGCUUUUGUACGGAACGAAACGGUCUCCUUUAAUACGGAGGGCUAAUGACGGUACCGUAAGAAUAAGCACCGGCUAACUACGUGCCAGCAGCCGCGGUAAUACGUAGGGUGCGAGCGUUAAUCGGAAUUACUGGGCGUAAAGCGUGCGCAGGCGGUUAUAUAAGUCAGAUGUGAAAUCCCCGGGCUCAACCUGGGACCUGCAUUUGAGACUGUAUAGCUAGAGUACGGUAGAGGGGGAUGGAAUUCCGCGUGUAGCAGUGAAAUGCGUAGAUAUGCGGAGGAACACCGAUGGCGAAAGCAAUCCCCUGGACCUGUACUGACGCUCAUGCACGA
RNAcentral lists this ribosomal RNA (680 nucleotides) under uncultured bacterium. RNAcentral's name for it is "bacterial SSU rRNA". It matches the Rfam family "Bacterial small subunit ribosomal RNA", at positions 82 to 756 of the family's 1533-position model. The record is from RNAcentral.